This is a non-coding RNA of Callorhinchus milii (elephant shark), 77 nucleotides long. The record is from the annotation of a RefSeq genome assembly. Lineage: Eukaryota; Metazoa; Chordata; Chondrichthyes; Chimaeriformes; Callorhinchidae.
UGUCGGAUCUUGUAGCUCAGUGGUUAGAGCACUCGCCUUGUAAGUGAGAGACCCGGGUUUGAUUCCCGGCAGGGCAA